RNAcentral lists this ribosomal RNA (460 nucleotides) under uncultured bacterium. RNAcentral describes it as "partial 16S ribosomal RNA". It matches the Rfam family "Bacterial small subunit ribosomal RNA", at positions 338 to 795 of the family's 1533-position model. The record is from RNAcentral.
CCUACGGGUGGCAGCAGUGAGGAAUAUUGGUCAAUGGACGAGAGUCUGAACCAGCCAAGUAGCGUGAAGGAUGACUGCCCUAUGGGUUGUAAACUUCUUUUAUAUGGGAAUAAAAUGUUCCACGUGUGGGAUUUUGUAUGUACCAUAUGAAUAAGGAUCGGCUAACUCCGUGCCAGCAGCCGCGGUAAUACGGAGGAUCCGAGCGUUAUCCGGAUUUAUUGGGUUUAAAGGGAGCGUAGGUGGAUUGUUAAGUCAGUUGUGAAAGUUUGCGGCUUAACCCUAAAAUUGCAGUUGAAACUGGCAGUCUUGAGUACAGUAGAGGUGGGCGGAAUUCGUGGUGUAGCGGUGAAAUGCUUAGAUAUCACGAAGAACUCCGAUUGCGAAGGCAGCUUACUGGACUGCAACUGACACUGAGGCUCGAAAGUGUGGGUAUCAAACAGGAUUAGAUACCCCAGUAGUC